UUAAUAUUGGGCAGAAGUAUGGAAGUAGCAUAAAGAUUUAUUGUUUAUUUAUGAAUAAAACACUAUUGGCGCCUAUAUCUAGCCUUCAAUUAUAUUUCCAAAAUGAUUAUUAAUAUAAAAUGUCUACAAAUAUAAAUAUUUCAGGCGAAGGAGUCUUUGCCACUAAGCCUUUUAAAAACGAGACUUUCUUCUCGAAUACAAAGGGGAUCGGAUAACACAAGUACAACAUGCACGGAAAUUAGAAAAGCAGUAUGAAAAGGAGGGUCAAGGCAGCUUCAAUUACUUUUUUAAAUACAGAGACAAAUCUUGCUGCAUUGACGCUACCAACGAUAUAUUUCAUGAUGGUCGAAUGAUAAAUGAUGCCGAAAAUGGAGACGCAAAACAAAAUUGUGUAAUGAAAAUAGAUGAAGUCAACCAAACUCCCCAUCUAUGCACUUUCGCCGACAGAGACAUUGCAAUUGGCGAGGAACUCCGAUAUGAUUAUGGAGUACCAACACUUCCAUGGAGAAAGGCAACACAAUGACUACUAGAUCUACGGACAGCCAGGAACCAGGACAAACAACAUCUAUACACACGGAAGAAGUCAAUGAGACGAAAUGUACGGAACAAAAAAGGGCAAAACAUUGACUACUAGAUUUACGGACAGCCAGGAACCAGGACAAACAACAUCCGUACACAUGGAAGAUUUCGAUCAGACGUAUUGUAAUAUUUCACUAUGUCGAAGCUACUAAGGCGUAUUUUCUGGUUUGGUUUAGUCUUCAGUGAAAAGGGCGUUAUUUUGCCUUAAAUUAUAUUGUGCCAAUAUUUAUUCCGGGUGAUGCUAAUUGGUAUUUGUGCUUAACAUAACACGUACGUCGAUGAUCAUUAUAUUAACAUGUUAUAGCACACGUUAUGCGAAUUUUAAAAGAAUAAAAUAUUGUUUACCAGUUGUAGUGACUAUGAACUACUUGUCUUUCAAAAUCUUCAUAUACACAAAGAAUUUAGAAUUUACACCUGUCAAUGAAACUUGUGAGAAUGUGUAUUAACCACGGUAGUCUAUAAACAUCGACUUCAUCAUAAUCACAAAAAUGUUAAUUAUCGCUUAUCCAAGAAGUGUAAUAUCAUUAAUUUAAAUUUUCAGUAUAAGACUUAUACUCUGCCAAUUACUGUGUAUGAAAC
Dreissena polymorpha is the source of this 1158-nucleotide long non-coding RNA. RefSeq lists it as uncharacterized. The record is from RefSeq and is a predicted model, not a curated record. The transcript is spliced from 5 exons. NCBI's taxonomy places the organism in Eukaryota, Metazoa, Mollusca, Bivalvia, Myida, Dreissenidae.